GAACAAUAGAACACUCACGCUCCAGAAGGCCAUGAAAGAAUACAGCCAUGAUCUUCCUUCAUGCAGGUAGAACAUGACACUCACGCUCCAGAAGGCCAUGAAAGAAUACAGCCAUGAUCUUCCUUCAUGCAGGUAGAACAUGACACUCACGCUCCAGAAGGCCAUGAAAGAAUACAGCCAUGAUCUUCCUUCAUGCAGAUUAUCAUUCCGUUCUUCAGUCUACUCUUGAAGGACAUUUACUAUCUGAACGAGGGCUGCGCAAACAAACUCUCUAACGGUUACGUCAACUUUGAGAAUUUCUGGCAGCUUGCCAAGCAGAUCGGCGAAGUCAUGAAUUAGAAGGGGAUAGAGUGCCCAUUCCAGACGCGGCCGGAGAUCAUAGACUAUCUCAUCACGACACCAGUGUUUUCUGAAAACGCGCUCGCGUUAGCAUCAUUCGAGUGCGAACCGCCUGAGACCAACUAUGGCAAAAAGCAAUACAAGCAGCUAAAGCUUGCAUUGAGGUGAACAGAUCAACUACUACAUCCCAGUGGCACAAACCUAUGCAGCUGUAAUCGCUUGUGAGAAAAUGGUGGACCCCUCUGUGAGCGUUGUAAAUGAUUUUGCCGGAACGAUGUGUCGCCGCUACCAUCACGUCUCGAUAGUAACGAUAUGUAGGGAAAGAGUAUUUAAUUUUUGAUGAUUAUUUUUGUACGCGCGUAUACGGUACCGCGACUGCGCGAAUUCGCCAUGACGAUGCCUCGCGCGCGUCUUGAUUCGUGGCGCAUCGUCUUUUGAAUGGAGGACUCGCGCGAGGCGAGUGUUCAAUAUGGUGGCGUUCGGUCGUCACUGUCGGCAGUAGGUGUGCGUCGCUGAACGAACCCAAUCCCGUAUCGCGAUUUCACCGAGCGUAUGCAUCUCUGCCUGCCCUAAACAACACAGAGUCUUAGCUAACUC
This is a long non-coding RNA of Priapulus caudatus, 936 nucleotides long. RefSeq lists it as uncharacterized. The record is from RefSeq and is a predicted model, not a curated record. Lineage: Eukaryota; Metazoa; Priapulida; Priapulimorpha; Priapulimorphida; Priapulidae. The transcript has 5 exons.